UGGCGAACGGGUGAGUAACACGUGGGUAACCUGCCCAUCAGAGGGGGAUAACACUUGGAAACAGGUGCUAAUACCGUAUAACACUAUUUUCCGCAUGGAAGAAAGUUGAAAGGCGCUUUUGCGUCACUGAUGGAUGGACCCGCGGUGCAUUAGCUAGUUGGUGAGGUAACGGCUCACCAAGGCAACGAUGCAUAGCCGACCUGAGAGGGUGAUCGGCCACACUGGGACUGAGACACGGCCCAGACUCCUACGGGAGGCAGCAGUAGGGAAUCUUCGGCAAUGGACGAAAGUCUGACCGAGCAACGCCGCGUGAGUGAAGAAGGUUUUCGGAUCGUAAAACUCUGUUGUUAGAGAAGAACAAGGAUGAGAGUAAAACGUUCAUCCCUUGACGGAUCUAACCAGAAGCCAC
This 409-nucleotide ribosomal RNA is filed under the name Enterococcus casseliflavus. RNAcentral's name for it is "bacterial SSU rRNA". It matches the Rfam family "Bacterial small subunit ribosomal RNA", at positions 96 to 494 of the family's 1533-position model. The record is from RNAcentral. Lineage: Bacteria; Bacillati; Bacillota; Bacilli; Lactobacillales; Enterococcaceae.